Non-coding RNA from Corylus avellana, 343 nucleotides. The record is from RefSeq and is a predicted model, not a curated record. NCBI's taxonomy places the organism in Eukaryota, Viridiplantae, Streptophyta, Magnoliopsida, Fagales, Betulaceae.
CUCAAUUAAUAAUUUCAGGAGGAUGAGGAAGGAGUGAACAUUGAUAAUAAAAUUAUAGUUUGAAAUCUAGAAGUUUAUAGAGUUAUUUAUCAUUAUUGUUAAGCAUGGCCCUAGUGGAAAGUUGUUUAUGCAAUAUUACUAGGUCAUAGACUUUUAAAAUUAUUCGAGUCACCUUUUCGAUUAAUUAAUGUUUUUUUUUUCUUCAUGUUGUAGGGAUUGCGGACAUAGCAAGACUACCAAUUUACUACUUAAUUUAUGGACGAGAUUAUGAUCCGCUAUAUUACCUAGAUCUUCCAAUCAAAUUACUGACAUACUUGACCAUAUAUAGAUUACGGUAAGAACC